CCUACGGGUGGCAGCAGUGGGGAAUAUUGGACAAUGGGCGCAAGCCUGAUCCAGCCAUACCGCGUGGGUGAAGAAGGCCUUCGGGUUGUAAAGCCCUUUUGUUGGGAAAGAAAAGCAUUCGGUUAAUACCCGAGUGUUCUGACGGCACCCAAAGAAUAAGCACCGGCUCGCUUCGUGCCAGCAGCCGCGGUAAUACGAAGGGUGCAAGCGUUACUCGGAAUUACUGGGCGUAAAGCGUGCGUAGGUGGUGAUUUAAGUCCGUUGUGAAAGCCCUGGGCUCAACCUGGGAAUUGCAGUGGAUACUGGGUCACUAGAGUGUGGUAGAGGAUAGUGGGAUUUCCGGUGUAGCAGUGAAAUGCGUAGAGAUCGGAAGGAACAUCGGUGGCGAAGGCGACUAUCUGGGCCAACACUGACACUGAGGCACGAAAGCGUGGGGAGCAAACAGGAUUAGAUACCCUUGUAGUC
This 465-nucleotide ribosomal RNA is filed under the name uncultured Pseudoxanthomonas sp. RNAcentral's name for it is "bacterial SSU rRNA". It matches the Rfam family "Bacterial small subunit ribosomal RNA", at positions 338 to 795 of the family's 1533-position model. The record is from RNAcentral. Lineage: Bacteria; Pseudomonadati; Pseudomonadota; Gammaproteobacteria; Lysobacterales; Lysobacteraceae.